AGAAAGAACGAUUUCUGAAAGUGGAGGCAUAAUUAAAGUACCACCGUAACAAUUUAGUAAUAUAAUGGACGAAAAGUAAAGUUUGGUCUUAGUCCAAGGACCAUUGCUACAAUUUUGUCUACUUGAUAUAAAGGGAAUAUACUGAAAUUGAACCAACUUUACUACAAAGGCUUCUUUUUUUCGUGUGUUUUUUUUUUUUUUUCUUUUUAUAUCUUAUGAUCCUUUUUAAUGGGUGAAAGGUUGGUGAUCCAUGUGAAUUAGUUUGGUUGUAUUGUACAUAAUAUCCUGAUGGGCAAGUUGGAAGCUUUUAUAGAAAUUACAAUUUCUUUUAGUCAUAACAACAAAAUGCUUUCAUCUUAUAAUGCUUCCUCCAAAAUUUUGCAUCGAUCUCUACCUCAUGCAAAGUGUAUUCAACUUCUUUCAACUCCCUAAUGUCAAUGUAUGUCUUCAAGUGACUAGAUUAACCCUUCUAAUUUCU
RNAcentral lists this long non-coding RNA (478 nucleotides) under Prunus persica (peach). RNAcentral describes it as "long non-coding RNA (PPER_LNC000799)". Lineage: Eukaryota; Viridiplantae; Streptophyta; Magnoliopsida; Rosales; Rosaceae. The record is from RNAcentral.